AGCUCCAAUAGCGUAUACUAAAGUUGUUGCAGUUAAAAGCUCGUAGUUGAAUUUCUGGUCGUGGCGACCGGUCCGCCCCUCGCGGGGUGUGCACCUGGUCUCUACGUCCAUCCUCGGGGAGAGCGCGUCUGGCAUUCAGUUGUCGGGCGCGGGAUCCUCGUCAUUUACUGUGAGCAAAAUAGAGUGUUCAAAGCAGGCUUAGGCCGUUGAAUACAUUAGCAUGGAAUAAUAAGAUAGGACCUUGGUCUAUUUUGUUGGUUUGCAUUCCAAGGUAAUGAUUAAUAGGGAUAGUUGGGGGUAUUCGUAUUCAAUUGUCAGAGGUGAAAUUCUUGGAUUUAUGGAAGACGAACUACUGCGAAAGCAUUUACCAAGGAUGUUUUCAUUAAUCAAGAACGAAAGAG
RNAcentral lists this ribosomal RNA (401 nucleotides) under uncultured eukaryote. RNAcentral's name for it is "SSU rRNA". It matches the Rfam family "Eukaryotic small subunit ribosomal RNA", at positions 587 to 991 of the family's 1831-position model. The record is from RNAcentral.